Molecule: ribosomal RNA, 254 nt
Filed under: uncultured bacterium
Lineage: Bacteria
Description: partial 16S ribosomal RNA
Rfam family: Bacterial small subunit ribosomal RNA
Source: RNAcentral
UACGGGGGGCGCAAGCGUUGUUCGGAUUUACUGGGCGUAAAGGGCGCGUAGGCGGUCAGUGCAAGUCAGUUGUGAAAUCUCCGGGCUUAACUCGGAAAGGGCAACUGAUACUGCUCGACUAGAGUGCGGAAGGGGCAACUGGAAUUCUUGGUGUAGCGGUGAAAUGCGUAGAUAUCAAGAGGAACACCGGCGGCGAAGGCGGGUUGCUGGGCCGACACUGACGCUGAAGCGCGAAAGCGAGGGGAGCGAACGGG